CCUACGGGUGGCUGCAGUGAGGAAUAUUGGUCAAUGGCCGGAAGGCUGAACCAGCCAUGCCGCGUGAAGGUCAGUGCCCUAUGGGCGUUAAACUUCUUUUGUGCGGGAGCAAUAAUGGUCACGUGUGGCCAGACGAGAGUACCGUACGAAUAAGCAUCGGCUAACUCCGUGCCAGCAGCCGCGGUAAUACGGGGGAUGCAAGCGUUAUCCGGAUUUAUUGGGUUUAAAGGGUGCGUAGGCUGUGAGGUAAGUCAGCGGUGAAAUGCCCCCGCUCAACGGGGUGAAGUGCCAUUGAUACUGCCUUGCUGGAAUGCGGAUGCCGUGGGAGGAAGGUGUGGUGUAGCGGUGAAAUGCGUAGAUAUCAGGAGGAACACCGGUGGCGAAGGCGGCCUGCUGGACUGCGACUGACGUUGAGGCCCGAAAGCGUGGGGAGCAAACAGGAUUAGAUACCCUGGUAGUC
RNAcentral lists this ribosomal RNA (460 nucleotides) under uncultured bacterium. RNAcentral's name for it is "partial 16S ribosomal RNA". It matches the Rfam family "Bacterial small subunit ribosomal RNA", at positions 338 to 795 of the family's 1533-position model. The record is from RNAcentral.